Non-coding RNA from Microcebus murinus (gray mouse lemur), 915 nucleotides. Lineage: Eukaryota; Metazoa; Chordata; Mammalia; Primates; Cheirogaleidae. The record is from RefSeq and is a predicted model, not a curated record.
GUCUGCAGAGGAUGGCUCUCACCCCACCUCUGUCCCUUCACUGGCAGAGCUCAAGCGGCUGGGAUCCGUGGACAAGUUCUGCUGAGGGGCGAAAACUAUUCAUGAGUUCCUGCAGCGGCGAGGCGUGAGACGCUGGAUACCCCUGGGGAGGAUCCGCAGAGUUUGGCUCUCACCGCACCUUCUGUCCCUUCACCAGGAGAGUUCAAGCAGCUGGGAACCGCAGACAAGUUCUGCUGAGGGGUGAACACUAUCCUCCCGUCUCCACGGUGGCGAGGCAUUUCCAGCGAUAGACCAGGAAAGAACCGAGCGGCACACAGAGGGUCGAGAAUCAGCCUUUCAUCACGCCGGUGGGCUCAGAGGGGCACGCCACCAAACUCUGAGCACACGUCCUUAUUUUUCCCCAGUCUUAUACAUUUACACAACCAAUCCACUAUCAUCUAAUUAGUAGGAUCAGCCAAGAAAACUCAGCUGUGACUCUGAUCUUCUGCUCCUUUGAAAAUAAUCCAUCUGUUCCUGUCUCUGCCUGUGAAGUCUCUGUGUCUCCGGCAUCUCUGGGCCUGCCUCACCCUCCAGUCUUCAGGACACCACCUUGCCUGUGAGUUUCUGACAGAUGCCUUUCUCAUCCUGCGUCUCGGCUGACGCUGUGGCCUCUGCCAGUGCCCUUCCUCCUCUGCACCCCACGCUCGCUGUCUCACCUGGCUGAUGUCCACGUGUCACUUGGGACUCAGCCCACAGCCCUUCCAUCACAUGCUCCAGGACACCUCCCUGGCCUCUCUCCUGGGCCGGGCGCCUUCCCAGGCCUUCCACAGGCCUCCCGGGCUUUGGGGUAUUGGUAUUGGCAUUAAAAGUUCGAUGUGACUGAGUGUAGCUGCCUUUCUGUAUUUGUCAUGAAUUAUAUUUAUUUGGCCUGUUCAA